ACCUGGCUGGCUCAGUUGGUGUAGAGCAUGUGACUCUCGAUCUCCAGGUCAUGAGUUCAAGCCCCACGUUGGGCA
Molecule: transfer RNA, 75 nt
Filed under: Ailuropoda melanoleuca (giant panda)
Lineage: Eukaryota; Metazoa; Chordata; Mammalia; Carnivora; Ursidae
Rfam family: tRNA
About the family: Transfer RNA (tRNA) molecules are approximately 80 nucleotides in length. Their secondary structure includes four short double-helical elements and three loops (D, anti-codon, and T loops).
Source: Rfam by way of RNAcentral